GAUGAACGCUGGCGGCGUGCCUAAUACAUGCAAGUCGAGCGAACAGAUGAGGAGCUUGCUCCUCUGACGUUAGCGGCGGACGGGUGAGUAACACGUGGAUAACCUACCUAUAAGACUGGGAUAACUUCGGGAAACCGGAGCUAAUACCGGAUAAUAUAUUGAACCGCAUGGUUCAAUAGUGAAAGACGGUUUUGCUGUCACUUAUAGAUGGAUCCGCGCCGCAUUAGCUAGUUGGUAAGGUAACGGCUUACCAAGGCGACGAUGCGUAGCCGACCUGAGAGGGUGAUCGGCCAUACUGGAACUGAGACACGGUCCAGACUCCUACGGGAGGCAGCAGUAGGGAAUCUUCCGCAAUGGGCGAAAGCCUGACGGAGCAACGCCGCGUGAGUGAUGAAGGUCUUCGGAUCGUAAAACUCUGUUAUUAGGGAAGAACAAAUGUGUAAGUAACUAUGCACGUCUUGACGGUACCUAAUCAGAAAGCCACGGCUAACUACGUG
RNAcentral lists this ribosomal RNA (497 nucleotides) under uncultured bacterium. RNAcentral's name for it is "partial 16S ribosomal RNA". It matches the Rfam family "Bacterial small subunit ribosomal RNA", at positions 28 to 507 of the family's 1533-position model. The record is from RNAcentral.